Molecule: ribosomal RNA, 473 nt
Filed under: Bacillus xiamenensis
Lineage: Bacteria; Bacillati; Bacillota; Bacilli; Caryophanales; Bacillaceae
Description: bacterial SSU rRNA
Rfam family: Bacterial small subunit ribosomal RNA
Source: RNAcentral
GGACAGAAGGGAGCUUGCUCCCGGAUGUUAGCGGCGGACGGGUGAGUAACACGUGGGUAACCUGCCUGUAAGACUGGGAUAACUCCGGGAAACCGGAGCUAAUACCGGAUAGUUCCUUGAACCGCAUGGUUCAAGGAUGAAAGACGGUUUCGGCUGUCACUUACAGAUGGACCCGCGGCGCAUUAGCUAGUUGGUGAGGUAACGGCUCACCAAGGCGACGAUGCGUAGCCGACCUGAGAGGGUGAUCGGCCACACUGGGACUGAGACACGGCCCAGACUCCUACGGGAGGCAGCAGUAGGGAAUCUUCCGCAAUGGACGAAAGUCUGACGGAGCAACGCCGCGUGAGUGAUGAAGGUUUUCGGAUCGUAAAGCUCUGUUGUUAGGGAAGAACAAGUGCAAGAGUAACUGCUUGCACCUUGACGGUACCUAACCAGAAAGCCACGGCUAACUACGUGCCAGCAGCCGCGGUAAU